This 68-nucleotide transfer RNA is filed under the name Camelus bactrianus (Bactrian camel). It matches the Rfam family "tRNA". Rfam says of the family: Transfer RNA (tRNA) molecules are approximately 80 nucleotides in length. Lineage: Eukaryota; Metazoa; Chordata; Mammalia; Artiodactyla; Camelidae. The record is from Rfam by way of RNAcentral. RNAcentral also lists the same sequence under 3 other names.
GAAGGUUUAGCUCAGUGGUAGGGUGCAUGCUUAGCAUGCAUGAGGUCCUGGCUUUGUGAAAAUUUUCA